UGGGGAAUUUUGGACAAUGGGCGAAAGCCUGAUCCAGCAAUGCCGCGUGUGUGAAGAAGGCCUUCGGGUUGUAAAGCACUUUUGUCCGGAAAGAAGUCCUUGGCUCUAAUACAGUCGGGGGAUGACGGUACCGGAAGAAUAAGCACCGGCUAACUACGUGCCAGCAGCCGCGGUAAUACGUAGGGUGCAAGCGUUAAUCGGAAUUACUGGGCGUAAAGCGUGCGCAGGCGGUUUGCUAAGACCGAUGUGAAAUCCCCGGGCUCAACCUGGGAACUGCAUUGGUGACUGGCAGGCUAGAGUAUGGCAGAGGGGGGUAGAAUUCCACGUGUAGCAGUGAAAUGCGUAGAGAUGUGGAGGAAUACCGAUGGCGAAGGCAGCCCCCUGGGCCAAUACUGACGCUCAUGCACGAAAGCGUGGGGAGCAAACAGGAUUAGAUACCCUGGUAGUCCACGCCCUAAACGAUGUCAACUAGUUGUUGGGGAUUCAUUUCCUUAGUAACGUAGCUAACGCGUGAAGUUGACCGCCUGGGGAGUACGGUCGCAAGAUUAAAACUUAAAUGAAUUGACGGGGUCAUAGCUGUUUCCU
Molecule: ribosomal RNA, 585 nt
Filed under: uncultured bacterium
Lineage: Bacteria
Description: partial 16S ribosomal RNA
Rfam family: Bacterial small subunit ribosomal RNA
Source: RNAcentral